This is a long non-coding RNA of Oreochromis aureus, 567 nucleotides long. RefSeq lists it as uncharacterized. Lineage: Eukaryota; Metazoa; Chordata; Actinopteri; Cichliformes; Cichlidae. The transcript has 5 exons. The record is from RefSeq and is a predicted model, not a curated record.
CUGUUUGAUCACAUGACAUCGUUAGCCAGCAGUGUGUCUCCUGAAAAGAGAGCUGUUUAGAGAGGCAGUUUUGAAUUCAGGAGCGGCAAGAUGGCAGCGGCAAACCCUGGCGGUUCUCCGGGUUCGUGGCAACCACGGAUGGGAAAAUGUGGAGGUUGCACGGCUGAUGUUUACUGUUCGUGGCACAGGAAGAGGCAGUUUCAUUUCAGGAAUGAGUGUGCACAAUCAAAGAAUAGAGCGACUGUGGAGAGACCUCUGGGUGGCCGUUGCAUGCAUUUACUACGAUGUUCUUCACAACCUUGAGGAAGAAGGCCUUCUUGACAUUUCAAAUGCUGCACACCUCUUUUGCUGCCAUUACAUCUUUCUUCCUCGACUGGAGGAUGAUUUUAAUACAUUUUGCAGUGGAUGGGACAACCAUCCACUGCGAACAGAAAACAACACGAGUCCCAACCAGCUGUGGGAGUUGUGUCACAGAUAUCACCCUGUUCCUGUUCCAGAAAACACACAGCUUAUCACACAUUUGAUUUCCAUGUGUGACAACUGCAAGUGUCCAGAGUGAGGACAGAC